AGGGCGGUGGCUCAAUUGGUAGAGCAGCGGUCUCCAAAACCGCAGGUUGCAGGUUCGAGUCCUGUCCGCCCUGC
This 74-nucleotide transfer RNA is filed under the name Curtobacterium citreum. RNAcentral's name for it is "tRNA-Trp". It matches the Rfam family "tRNA". Rfam says of the family: Transfer RNA (tRNA) molecules are approximately 80 nucleotides in length. Their secondary structure includes four short double-helical elements and three loops (D, anti-codon, and T loops). Further hydrogen bonds mediate the characteristic L-shaped molecular structure. tRNAs have two regions of fundamental functional importance: the anti-codon, which is responsible for specific mRNA codon recognition, and the 3' end, to which the tRNAs corresponding amino acid is attached (by aminoacyl-tRNA synthetases). tRNAs cope with the degeneracy of the genetic code in two manners: having more than one tRNA (with a specific anti-codon) for a particular amino acid; and 'wobble' base-pairing, i.e. permitting non-standard base-pairing at the 3rd anti-codon position. The record is from RNAcentral. RNAcentral also lists the same sequence under 72 other names. Lineage: Bacteria; Bacillati; Actinomycetota; Actinomycetes; Micrococcales; Microbacteriaceae.